GGGUUUCUUUUGCGGGACAGAGGAUCAGAUGUUGAGAGUUUGGACAGACUCAUGAAAACCAAAAACAUACCUGAAGCUCACCAAAAUGCAUUGAAAACUGGGUUUGCAGAAGGUUUUCUGAAAGCUCAAGCACUCUCAAAAAAAAACAGAUUCCCUAAGACGAACCUGUCUGAUUCUCUUCUUUCUGCUGCUAUUCGGCAUUUACGGACUUUUAAAAAACCCAUUUUAUCUGGUAAAAUUCCAGACAACAAUGGGGCUUGAUUCUGCAAUAGAUCCUGUCCAGAUAAAAGAUGUUACCUUUGAACGUGUUAGAAUAAAAAGAAAUGAACAAAGCCUCCAAGAAAUAUGGGACUAUGUGAAAAGACCAAAUCUACAUUUCAUUGGUGUACCCAAAAGUGACGGGGAG
Molecule: long non-coding RNA, 406 nt
Filed under: Homo sapiens (human)
Lineage: Eukaryota; Metazoa; Chordata; Mammalia; Primates; Hominidae
Description: non-protein coding lnc-OR11H12-2:1
Source: RNAcentral